RNAcentral lists this ribosomal RNA (253 nucleotides) under uncultured bacterium. RNAcentral describes it as "partial 16S ribosomal RNA". It matches the Rfam family "Bacterial small subunit ribosomal RNA", at positions 524 to 776 of the family's 1533-position model. The record is from RNAcentral.
UACAGAGGUGGCAAGCGUUGUUCGGAAUUACUGGGCGUAAAGCGCACGUAGGCGGAUCUUUAAGUCAGGGGUGAAAUCCUGGAGCUCAACUCCAGAACUGCCUUUGAUACUGGGGAUCUCGAGUCCGGGAGAGGUGAGUGGAACUCCGAGUGUAGAGGUGAAAUUCGUAGAUAUUCGGAAGAACACCAGUGGCGAAGGCGGCUCACUGGCCCGGUACUGACGCUGAGGUGCGAAAGCGUGGGGAGCAAACAGG